RNAcentral lists this ribosomal RNA (260 nucleotides) under uncultured bacterium. Its description in RNAcentral is "partial 16S ribosomal RNA". It matches the Rfam family "Bacterial small subunit ribosomal RNA", at positions 793 to 1055 of the family's 1533-position model. The record is from RNAcentral.
GUCCACGCCCUAAACGAUGAAUACUCGGUGUCGGGUCGCAAGAUUCGGCGCCUAAGCAAACGCAUUAAGUAUUCCACCUGGGAAGUACGAUCGCAAGGUUGAAACUCAAAGUAAUUGACGGGGGCCCGCACAAGCAGUGGAGCAUGUGGUUUAAUUCGAUGCAACGCGAAGAACCUUACCUGGGCUUGAAAGGCAAGAUUCUAGACGAUGAAAGUCGUUUACCCGCAAGGGGUCUUGUACAGGUUCUGCAUGGCUGUCGU